GCAAGGGGAGUGGCAGACGGGUGAGUAACACGUGGGAACGUGCCCAAAGGUACGGAACAACUCCGGGAAACUGGAGCUAACACCGUAUGUGCCCGCAAGGGGAAAGAUUUAUCGCCUUUGGAUCGGCCCGCGUCUGAUUAGCUAGUUGGUAGGGUAACGGCCUACCAAGGCUACGAUCAGUAGCUGGUCUGAGAGGAUGACCAGCCACACUGGGACUGAGACACGGCCCAGACUCCUACGGGAGGCAGCAGUGGGGAAUAUUGGACAAUGGGCGCAAGCCUGAUCCAGCCAUGCCGCGUGAGUGAUGAAGGCCCUAGGG
This 319-nucleotide ribosomal RNA is filed under the name uncultured bacterium. RNAcentral describes it as "bacterial SSU rRNA". It matches the Rfam family "Bacterial small subunit ribosomal RNA", at positions 86 to 422 of the family's 1533-position model. The record is from RNAcentral.